CGGGGGCAACCCUGGUGGCGAGUGGCGAACGGGUGAGUAAUACAUCGGAACGUGCCCAGUCGUGGGGGAUAACGCAGCGAAAGCUGUGCUAAUACCGCAUACGAUCUACGGAUGAAAGCGGGGGAUCGCAAGACCUCGCGCGAUUGGAGCGGCCGAUGGCAGAUUAGGUAGUUGGUGGGGUAAAGGCUCACCAAGCCAUCGAUCUGUAGCUGGUCUGAGAGGACGACCAGCCACACUGGGACUGAGACACGGCCCAGACUCCUACGGGAGGCAGCAGUGGGGAAUUUUGGACAAUGGGCGCAAGCCUGAUCCAGCCAUUCCGCGUGCAGGAUGAAGGCCUUCGGG
Molecule: ribosomal RNA, 345 nt
Filed under: uncultured bacterium
Lineage: Bacteria
Description: bacterial SSU rRNA
Rfam family: Bacterial small subunit ribosomal RNA
Source: RNAcentral